RNAcentral lists this long non-coding RNA (1056 nucleotides) under Salmo salar (Atlantic salmon). RNAcentral's name for it is "lncRNA (ENSSSAG00000105843.1)". The record is from RNAcentral. Lineage: Eukaryota; Metazoa; Chordata; Actinopteri; Salmoniformes; Salmonidae.
GUGUGUGUGUGUGUGUGUGUGUGUGUGUGUGUGUGUGUGUGUGUGUGUGCGCAAUAGAUAUAUUAUAGAGUCUUGUUUCAAUGUCUACAACAACAUUUAGGCAGUUACAUCAGGGUAAAUAAUAUAUAUAUGUAAAUAUAUUACAUAGUACAUAUAGGGUAUAUUAUACAUAUAGAAUUAUGACUUAUAAAGAACCCAUACUGACGCUUGUGUUUGCAGUGUGUUAAAGAAGUGUGUGUCCUCAUCGUAAAGAAAUUCAGCAGAUUUAAGACUGUAGGCCCCCACUGGUAGUCAGUAUGGGAAGUUUCAGUAUAGUGCUUAGAGAGAGUAGGCAAUAGAAUUGCUAGAAGAUAGAUAGAUAAGGAGUAUUAUUUAAGGCAAUGACAUUUCAUUCUUUGUUACUGGAUCAUAAUAGCAAAAUCAAUAGGAAUGUGCAUUUGCGUAUCAUUUUCUUAAACUCCUGCCAGUUUUUUAAAUCAGAAAAUGGCUCUUAACAUGCAGUUGUAUUUCUUUUAAGCUUCCAGUUUUUUUCUCUCCAAAUUAAUUCCUUUUAUUGUCAUCUAACAUUCAGGAAAAAAUCAUAGCUAUCGAACAAUAUUUUGGACAAAUCUCUUUUGCAUUUUGUACCUCUUUAUGUUUUGAACAACGGUCUAUUCUGUUACUGUGAAACUACAACUCACUACAACUGACUCACUCAAGCACUUGACCUUUGACCUUGUUAUGAUGAAAUCAUAUGUUAUUAUUUCACCACCACCUGGGGUUAUUACCAUAAAGCAACAAGAAGCAGGGGGCACUUCAAUUUUGGCACUUAAAGUAAGAACAGAAAGUUGUGAUUCUUACAGUACAUUUCAACAAUGUAGAUAGAGAGAGAAAUGGGAACAAACAGCCUAUCUCCCCCUCCCUUAGCCUCACACUCGUCCUUCCUUCCUUCCUUCCUUCCUUCCUUCCUUCCUUCCUUCCUUCCUUCCUUCCUUCCUUCCUUCCUUCCUUCCUUCCUUCCUUCCUUCCUUCCUUUCUUCCUUUCUUUCUUCCUUUCUUUUCUCUCUUUCUUUUAUU